Molecule: ribosomal RNA, 691 nt
Filed under: Flavobacterium sp. B393_1
Lineage: Bacteria; Pseudomonadati; Bacteroidota; Flavobacteriia; Flavobacteriales; Flavobacteriaceae
Description: bacterial SSU rRNA
Rfam family: Bacterial small subunit ribosomal RNA
Source: RNAcentral
UAUAGUUCUUCGGAAUUAGAGACCGGCGCACGGGUGCGUAACGCGUAUGCAAUCUACCUUUCACAGAGGGAUAGCCCAGAGAAAUUUGGAUUAAUACCUCAUAGUAUAGCAGUUUCGCAUGAAACCACUAUUAAAGUCACAACGGUGAAAGAUGAGCAUGCGUCCCAUUAGCUAGUUGGUAAGGUAACGGCUUACCAAGGCAACGAUGGGUAGGGGUCCUGAGAGGGAGAUCCCCCACACUGGUACUGAGACACGGACCAGACUCCUACGGGAGGCAGCAGUGAGGAAUAUUGGACAAUGGGCGCAAGCCUGAUCCAGCCAUGCCGCGUGCAGGAUGACGGUCCUAUGGAUUGUAAACUGCUUUUAUACGAGAAGAAACCCUCCGACGUGUCGGAGCUUGACGGUAUCGUAAGAAUAAGGAUCGGCUAACUCCGUGCCAGCAGCCGCGGUAAUACGGAGGAUCCAAGCGUUAUCCGGAAUCAUUGGGUUUAAAGGGUCCGUAGGCGGUCAGGUAAGUCAGUGGUGAAAGCCCAUCGCUCAACGGUGGAACGGCCAUUGAUACUGUCUGACUUGAAUUAUUAGGAAGUAACUAGAAUAUGUAGUGUAGCGGUGAAAUGCUUAGAGAUUACAUGGAAUACCAAUUGCGAAGGCAGGUUACUACUAAUGGAUUGACGCUGAUGGACGAAAGCGU